AACAAGUGCUUAAAAUAAUUUUUUUGACUACCUUUUAAAACAGUGCAUGCGUACAGCCUUUAAUAUUUUGAUCAUUCCUCAUGUAACAAGAUCGGAUGUGAAUCUUUUUAUUGGUUACAAAAGUAGUUAUUAUAAACUUCAAGAAAAGAAAAAUCAUAUUAUACUUUGCGAAGAAUCAUGAAUAUGUCUUCAUUAUUUAGAAGAGUAUGCCAAAAUAUAGGCUCUGUUAUUCCAAAAAUAUCUGUGGAACCAGUAAACAAUGUUAUGAAUCGUAAAAUGCAUUAUAUAUGCAAUAAAU
Molecule: long non-coding RNA, 298 nt
Organism: Megachile rotundata (alfalfa leafcutting bee)
Lineage: Eukaryota; Metazoa; Arthropoda; Insecta; Hymenoptera; Megachilidae
Source: RefSeq, a predicted model, not a curated record